Molecule: ribosomal RNA, 428 nt
Filed under: uncultured archaeon
Lineage: Archaea
Description: bacterial SSU rRNA
Rfam family: Archaeal small subunit ribosomal RNA
Source: RNAcentral
UACCAGCUCUCCGAGUGGUAGGGAUGAUUAUUGGGCUUAAAGCGUCCGUAGCCGGCUUAGCAAGUCUCCUGUUAAAUUCAGCGACCUAAUCGUUGAGCCGCGGGAGAUACUACUAGGCUAGGAGGCGGGAGAGGUCAACGGUACUUCCGGGGUAGGGGUGAAAUCCUAUAAUCCCGGGAGGACCACCAGUGGCGAAGGCUGUUGACUAGAACGCGCUCGACGGUGAGGGACGAAAGCUGGGGGAGCGAACCGGAUUAGAUACCCGGGUAGUCCCAGCUGUAAACGAUGCGAGCUAGGUGUUGGGGUGGCUACGUGCCACUUCAGUGCCGCAGGGAAGCCAUUAAGCUCGCCGCCUGGGGAGUACGGCCGCAAGGCUGAAACUUAAAGGAAUUGGCGGGGAGCACAGCAACGGGUGGAGCGUGCGGUUU